This 2978-nucleotide long non-coding RNA is filed under the name Homo sapiens (human). RNAcentral describes it as "HSALNT0393179". Lineage: Eukaryota; Metazoa; Chordata; Mammalia; Primates; Hominidae. The record is from RNAcentral.
CUCCAACAUGAUUAAAUCACCUUCCACCAGCCCCCACCUUUAACAUUUCCCAUUAAAAUUCCGCAUGAGUUUUGGUAGAGACACAGAGUCAAAACAUAUUAUUCUAUCCCUGGUCCCCCAAAUCUCAUGUAUUUUUCAUAUUGCAAAAUGCAACGAUGCCUUCCCUAGAAUCCCCCAAGUCUUAACUCAUUCCAGCAUUUACUCAAAUAUCCAAAGCCCACAGUCUCUUCUUAGACAAGGCUGCAGUCUCUUCUGCCCUGAGACUCUGAAAUACACAGCAAAUUAACUACUUCCAAGGUACAAUGAUUGUACAGGCAUUGGUGAAGCAUUCCCAGCCAAAAAGAAGAAAUUUGCCAGAAAGAAGCACAAAACACAGAUGGGACUUAUAAACCCCCUGCAAGUCAAAAGCCCAGCAGGCCAGUCAUCCAUCCUACACAACCAAAUCAUCUUUUUGGAAUCUAUGUCCACAUCCAGAGCACAGGGUGAUAUGACAGCUGGGAUCCCAAGGCCUUGGGCAGCUCUGCACCUGUGGCAUUGCAGAAUCUUUCCCCUACAGCUGCCCUCAUUGACUAGGCUGGUGUUGAGUACCUGUAGCUUUUCAACACUAAGGGUGCAAGCAGCUGGUGGGUCUAUGAAACUGGGGAAUGGAAAAUGGUGCCUCCCUGUAUGGGGACUCCAACCCUAUACUCUGCUUGUGUACUGCCUGAGUAUAGAUUUACCAUGAGGCUCUGCCUCUUGAAAAAGCUUCUGGCUGGACAAUCAGCCUUCUGAUACAUCCUCUGGAGUCUAGAUGAAGGCUCGGAAGCUUCUAGUCCUUGCUUUAUGCACCUGCUGGCUUAACACCAUGUGGAAGCCACCAAGUCUUCGAGCUUGCAUCCUCUGAAGCAGUGACGCAAGCUGUACCUGUGCAUCUUUCAUCCAUGGCUGGAGCUGGAGAUGGAGCUGCAGGGAUGCAGGCAGCAGUGUCCUGAGGCUGCACACAGCAGUGGAGCCAUGGGGCUGGGCCAGGAAACUAUUCUUUUCUCCUAGGCCCCAGGGCCAGUGACAGCAAGGGCUGCUACAAAGGUCACUGAAAUGCCUUCAAGGCCUUUUUCCCAUUGUCUUGAAUUAUUAGCACUGGGAUCCUUUUUAUGCAAAUAUCUGAAGCCUUCUUGACUUUCCCCCUGAAAAUCAGCUUUUCUUUUUGACCACUUGUGCAGAUUACAAAUUUUCCAUAUGUUUAAACUCUGCUUCUCUUUUAAAUAUAAGUUCCAACUUAUGGUCAUUUCUUUGAUCACACAUAGGUGCACAGGCUGUUCAAUGUAGGCAGGAAAACUCUUGAGCAUUGUUGCUUAGAAGUUCAUUCCACCAGAUACACUCUAAAUCAUCACCCUCAAGUUCAGUUUCACAGAUCUCCCGGGAAGGGUCACUGUGUAGUCAAUUACUUUGCUAAGGCAAAACAAAAAAACCUUGGCUCCUCUUCCCAGUAAGUCCUUCAUUUUCACCUGAGAUCUUGUAAACCUGGCCUUCACUGUCCAUCCUUAUGUUAGCCUUUUAAUCACAACUAUUUAACAAGUCUCUGCAAUGGUCAAAACUUUCCCUCAUCUUCCUCUUUUCUUCCAAGCUCUCCAAACUCUCUAACAUCUGGCCAUUAUGUAAUUCAGAACCUGCUUCUACACUGUCAGCUAUCUUUUUUGUAGCCUGGCAAUGUGGUAAAAGAAGAAAAGUCCAUCAUCAGGGGGAAACAUCAAGAAGGCCUCCAAUAUUUGCAUUGAAAAAGCUCAGUGCUAAUAGCCAAGAGAUUGGGGGAAGGCCUAGAAGUCAUUUCAUAGCUUCACUUCGCAGCAUUAAUUUUCUGUAUGUACAUAAAAAAAGAGGUUAGUUAACUCACAGUUCUUCAGGCUAUAAAGAAAGCAUACUGGUUUCUGCUUAUAGUAGGACUCAGGAAGCCUCCCAAUCAUACCAGAAAGCCAAGCGGCAAUGAAAUGUUUCAUAUGGCAGGAGUAGAAGCAAGACAGAGAGAGGAAAGAGGUGCGACAGCCUGUUAUACAACUAGAUCUCAUUAGAGCUCACUAUCAGGAGAUCAGCAUCAAGAAGAUGGUGCUUCAAUGUUGGUAAAGGAUCCGCCCACUAUCCCAUAUCUACCACCCACUGUUUCCAAGCAGAAGCCUGAGGCAGAGGCAGAUCCUCUUGGAAAACCUCUACCAUGGCUGUUUAGAAGAAAACUAUGGGCUUGGAGACCCCAUGUAGGAUACCACCAUCCUCCAGAACCCAGAUUCACAGACCCAUCAACAGCUCACACCCCAUGUAUGGAAAAGCAACAGGCACUCAACACCAGCCCAGCCCAUGAGAGCAGCUACAGGUGCUAAACCCUGCAAAGUCACAGGUGCACUGCCUCAGUAGAGUUUUUCCAUGAGCCUCUGCCUCUGCGGCAUGCUACUCCCCUUCUGCUACACGCCACCCUACAGCCAGCUUACCCUCCCCACCUUACCCACCAGUUUUUAAUUCCAACCCCACCCGUCUCCCAUCCAUGAAUAAAUCACCUCCCACCACGCCCCACCUGCAACAUUCGGGAUUACAAUUACAUGUGAGUUUAGGUAGGGACACACAGCUAAACCAUAUUAUUCUGACCCUGAUCCCCCGAAUAUCACAUCCUUCUCACAGAGUAAAAUACAGUCAUGCCUUUGCAAAAGCUGCUGAAAGUCUUAAGUCAUUUCAGCAUUAAUUCAAAUGUAAAAAGUUCAACAUCUCACGUGAGAAAAGGCUACAGUUCCUUUUGCCUAUAAGUUCCUGAAUUUAAAAGGGAGUUCUUUUCUUUCAAGGUACAAUGAUGGUACAGGCAUUGUGUAAGCUUUCUCAAUCCAAAGGUGAGAUGUUUGCCAGGAAAACAACACAAAUGGGAUCACAGGGCCAAUGCAAGUCCAAAACCCAGGAGGCCAGUAUCCAUUCACUCUCAUGGCUCCAAAAUCAUCACGAGAACUCACCAUCAUGAGGAAAGG